Molecule: ribosomal RNA, 253 nt
Filed under: uncultured bacterium
Lineage: Bacteria
Description: partial 16S ribosomal RNA
Rfam family: Bacterial small subunit ribosomal RNA
Source: RNAcentral
UACGUAGGGUGCGAGCGUUAAUCGGAAUUACUGGGCGUAAAGUGUGCGCAGGCGGCCGAGCAAGUCGAGUGUGAAAGCCCCGGGCUUAACUUGGGAAUUGCGCUCGAAACUACUUGGCUGGAGUGUGGCAGAGGAAGGUGGAAUUCCACGUGUAGCGGUGAAAUGCGUAGAGAUGUGGAGGAACACCAAUGGCGAAGGCAGCCUUCUGGGCCAACACUGACGCUCAUGCACGAAAGCGUGGGGAGCAAACAGG